This 484-nucleotide ribosomal RNA is filed under the name uncultured bacterium. RNAcentral's name for it is "partial 16S ribosomal RNA". It matches the Rfam family "Bacterial small subunit ribosomal RNA", at positions 30 to 507 of the family's 1533-position model. The record is from RNAcentral.
AUUGAACGCUGGCGGCAGGCCUAACACAUGCAAGUCGAGCGGAUGAAGGGAGCUUGCUCCUGGAUUCAGCGGCGGACGGGUGAGUAAUGCCUAGGAAUCUGCCUGGUAGUGGGGGAUAACGUCCGGAAACGGGCGCUAAUACCGCAUACGUCCUGAGGGAGAAAGUGGGGGAUCUUCGGACCUCAAGCUAUCAGAUGAGCCUAGGUCGGAUUAGCUAGUUGGUGGGGUAAAGGCCUACCAAGGCGACGAUCCGUAACUGGUCUGAGAGGAUGAUCAGUCACACUGGAACUGAGACACGGUCCAGACUCCUACGGGAGGCAGCAGUGGGGAAUAUUGGACAAUGGGCGAAAGCCUGAUCCAGCCAUGCCGCGUGUGUGAAGAAGGUCUUCGGAUUGUAAAGCACUUUAAGUUGGGAGGAAGGGCAGUAAGUUAAUACCUUGCUGUUUUGACGUUACCAACAGAAUAAGCACCGGCUAACUUCGUG